Molecule: ribosomal RNA, 881 nt
Filed under: uncultured fungus
Lineage: Eukaryota; Fungi
Description: eukaryotic LSU rRNA
Rfam family: 5.8S ribosomal RNA (bases 433-586)
Source: RNAcentral
UUCUUGGUCAUUUAGAGGAAGUAAAAGUCGUAACAAGGUUUCCGUAGGUGAACCUGCGGAAGGAUCAUUAAAGAAAUUUAAUAAUUUUGAAAAUGGAUUUUUUUGUUUUGGCAAGAGCAUGAGAGCUUUUACUGGGCAAGAAGACAAGAGAUGGAGAGUCCAGCCGGGCCUGCGCUUAAGUGCGCGGUCUUGCUAGGCUUGUAAGUUUCUUUCUUGCUAUUCCAAACGGUGAGAGAUUUCUGUGCUUUUGUUAUAGGACAAUUAAAACCGUUCCAAUACAACACACUGUGGAGUUUCCAUAUCUUUGCAACUUUUUCUUUGGGCAUUCGAGCAAUCGGGGCCCAGAGGUAACAAACACAAACAAUUUUAUCUAUUCAUUAAAUUUUUGUCAAAAACAAGAAUUUUCGUAACUGGAAAUUUUAAAAUAUUAAAAACUUUCAACAACGGAUCUCUUGGUUCUCGCAUCGAUGAAGAACGCAGCAAAAUGCGAUACGUAAUGUGAAUUGCAGAAUUCCGUGAAUCAUCGAAUCUUUAAACGCACAUUGCGCCCCUUGGUAUUCCAGGGGGCAUGCCUGUUUGAGCGUCAUUUCCUUCUCAAACAUUCUGUUUGGUAGUGAGUGAUACUCUUUGGAGUUAACUUGAAAUUGCUGGCCUUUUCAUAGGAUGUUUUUUUUUCCAAAGAGAGGUUUCUCUGCGUGCUUGAGGUAUAAUGCAAGUACGGUCGUUUAGGUUUUACCAACUGCGGCUAAUCUUUUUUAUACUGAGCGUAUUGGAACGUUAUCGAUAAGAAGAGAGCGUCUAGGCGAACAAUGUUCUUAAAGUUUGACCUCAAAUCAAGUAGGAGUACCCGCUGAACUUAAGCAUAUCAAUAAGCGGAGGAA